CAGCCGCCACGGUAAUGCGGAGGGGGCUAGCGUUGUUCGGAAUUACUGGGCGUAAAGCGCACGUAGGCGGCUUGGUAAGUUAGAGGUGAAAGCCCGGAGCUCAACUCCGGAAUUGCCUUUAAGACUGCCGAGCUAGUAGGUGAGAGAGGUAAGUGGAAUUCCGAGUGUAGAGGUGAAAUUCGUUGAGAUCGGAAAGAACACCAACGGCGAAAGCACUCUGCUGGGCCGACACUAACACUGAGAGACGAAAGCUAGGGGAGAAAAUGGGAUUAGAUACCCGAGUAGUCCCUGUCUCUUAUAC
This 301-nucleotide ribosomal RNA is filed under the name uncultured bacterium. Its description in RNAcentral is "partial 16S ribosomal RNA". It matches the Rfam family "Bacterial small subunit ribosomal RNA", at positions 509 to 807 of the family's 1533-position model. The record is from RNAcentral.